RNAcentral lists this ribosomal RNA (294 nucleotides) under uncultured bacterium. RNAcentral's name for it is "partial 16S ribosomal RNA". It matches the Rfam family "Bacterial small subunit ribosomal RNA", at positions 773 to 1060 of the family's 1533-position model. The record is from RNAcentral.
GUGGAUUAGAUACCCUAGUAGUCCUAGCCGUAAACGAUGGGCACUGGGUAGGGGGCUCGCCGAUGGGCUCUCUGCCGCAGGGAAACCGUGAAGUGCCCCGCCUGGGGAGUAUGGUCGCAAGGCUGAAACUCAAAGGAAUUGACGGGGGCUCACACAAGCGGUGGAGCAUGUGGCUUAAUUCGAGGCUACGCGAAGAACCUUAUCCUGGGCUUGACAUGCAGGGAUUAGGGUGCGGAAACGCACCUGACGCCGCAAGGUGGAACCUGCACAGGUGCUGCAUGGCUGUCGCCAGCU